AGAUUUCUGUCUCGUUGGUGACCAGCGGAGGGUCAUUACCGAGUUUACAACUCCCAAACCCAAUGUGAACCAUACCAAACUGUUGCCUCGGCGGGGUCACGCCCCGGGUGCGUCGCAGCCCCGGAACCAGGCGCCCGCCGGAGGGACCAACCAAACUCUUUUCUGUAGUCCCCUCGCGGACGUUAUUUCUUACAGCUCUGAGCAAAAAUUCAAAAUGAAUCAAAACUUUCAACAACGGAUCUCUUGGUUCUGGCAUCGAUGAAGAACGCAGCGAAAUGCGAUAAGUAAUGUGAAUUGCAGAAUUCAGUGAAUCAUCGAAUCUUUGAACGCACAUUGCGCCCGCCAGUAUUCUGGCGGGCAUGCCUGUCCGAGCGUCAUUUCAACCCUCGAACCCCUCCGGGGGGUCGGCGUUGGGGACCUCGGGAGCCCCUAAGACGGGAUCCCGGCCCCGAAAUACAGUGGCGGUCUCGCCGCAGCCUCUCCUGCGCAGUAGUUUGCACAACUCGCACCGGGAGCGCGGCGCGUCCACGUCCGUAAAACACCCAACUUCUGAAAUGUUGACCUCGGAUCAGGUAGGAAUACCCGCUGAACUUAAGCAUAUCAAUAAGCCGGAGGA
RNAcentral lists this ribosomal RNA (616 nucleotides) under Trichoderma sp. 1850. RNAcentral's name for it is "eukaryotic LSU rRNA". The stretch from base 224 to 377 matches the Rfam family "5.8S ribosomal RNA". The record is from RNAcentral. Lineage: Eukaryota; Fungi; Ascomycota; Sordariomycetes; Hypocreales; Hypocreaceae.